CCUACGGGUGGCAGCAGUGAGGAAUAUUGGUCAAUGGGCGCGAGCCUGAACCAGCCAAGCCGCGUGAGGGAAGACGGUCCUAUGGAUUGUAAACCUCUUUUGUCGGGGAGCAAAAGACGCCACGCGUGGCGUUCCGAGAGUACCCGAAGAAAAAGCAUCGGCUAACUCCGUGCCAGCAGCCGCGGUAAUACGGAGGAUGCGAGCGUUAUCCGGAUUUAUUGGGUUAAAAGGGCGCGCAGGCGGAAGAUCAAGUCAGCGGUAAAAUUGCGGGGCUCAACCUCUUCGAGCCGUUGAAACUGGUUGUCUUGAGUGAGUGAGAAGGAUGCGGAAUGCGUGGUGUAGCAGUGAAAUGCAUAGAUAUCACGCAGAACUCCGAUUGCGAAGGCAGCAUACCGGCGCUCAACUGACGCUGAUGCACGAAAGUGUGGGUAUCGAACAGGAUUAGAUACCCUAGUAGUC
This 459-nucleotide ribosomal RNA is filed under the name uncultured bacterium. RNAcentral describes it as "partial 16S ribosomal RNA". It matches the Rfam family "Bacterial small subunit ribosomal RNA", at positions 338 to 795 of the family's 1533-position model. The record is from RNAcentral.